RNAcentral lists this ribosomal RNA (836 nucleotides) under uncultured bacterium. RNAcentral describes it as "bacterial SSU rRNA". It matches the Rfam family "Bacterial small subunit ribosomal RNA", at positions 27 to 906 of the family's 1533-position model. The record is from RNAcentral.
GGAUGAACGCUGGCGGUAUGCUUAACACAUGCAAGUCGAACGGUCUUUUCGGAGAUAGUGGCGGACGGGUGAGUAACGCGUAAGAAUCUACCUUCAGGUUGGGGACAACCACUGGAAACGGUGGCUAAUACCCAAUGUGCCGAGAGGUGAAAGGCUUGCUGCCUGAAGAAGAGCUUGCGUCUGAUUAGCUAGUUGGUGGGGUAAGAGCCUACCAAGGCGACGAUCAGUAGCUGGUCUGAGAGGAUGAUCAGCCACACUGGGACUGAGACACGGCCCAGACUCCUACGGGAGGCAGCAGUGGGGAAUUUUCCGCAAUGGGCGAAAGCCUGACGGAGCAAUACCGCGUGAGGGAGGAAGGCUCUUGGGUUGUAAACCUCUUUUCUCAGGGAAGAAAAAAAUGACGGUACCUGAGGAAUAAGCAUCGGCUAACUCCGUGCCAGCAGCCGCGGUAAUACGGAGGAUGCAAGCGUUAUCCGGAAUGAUUGGGCGUAAAGGGUCCGCAGGUGGCAUUGUAAGUCUGCUGUUAAAGAGUCACGCUCAACGUGAUAAAAGCAGUGGAAACUACAAAGCUAGAGUAUGGUCGGGGCAGAGGGAAUUCCUGGUGUAGCGGUGAAAUGCGUAGAUAUCAGGAAGAACACCGGUGGCGAAGGCGCUCUGCUAGGCCAAAACUGACACUGAGGGACGAAAGCUAGGGGAGCGAAUGGGAUUAGAUACCCCAGUAGUCCUAGCCGUAAACGAUGGAUACUAGGCGUAGCUCGUAUCGACCCGAGCUGUGCCGUAGCUAACGCGUUAAGUAUCCCGCCUGGGGAGUACGCAGGCAACUGUGAAACUCAAAU